Molecule: ribosomal RNA, 433 nt
Filed under: uncultured bacterium
Lineage: Bacteria
Description: partial 16S ribosomal RNA
Rfam family: Bacterial small subunit ribosomal RNA
Source: RNAcentral
AACGAACGCUGGCGGCAGGCCUAACACAUGCAAGUCGAGCGAGGACUUCGGUUCUAGCGGCGGACGGGUGAGUAACGCGUGGGAAUGUGCCCUUCUCUACGGAAUAGCCCUGGGAAACUGGGAGUAAUACCGUAUACGCCCUAUUGGGGAAAGAUUUAUCGGAGAAGGAUCAGCCCGCGUUGGAUUAGGUAGUUGGUGGGGUAAUGGCCUACCAAGCCGACGAUCCAUAGCUGGUUUGAGAGGAUGAUCAGCCGCACUGGGACUGAGACACGGCCCAGACUCCUACGGGAGGCAGCAGUGGGGAAUCUUAGACAAUGGGGGCAACCCUGAUCGAGCCAUGCCGCGUGAGUGAUGAAGGCCUUAGGGUUGUAAAGCUCUUUCAGCUGGGAAGAUAAUGACGGUACCAGCAGAAGAAGCCCCGGCUAACUCCGUG